GACGAACGCUGGCGGCGUGCUUAACACAUGCAAGUCGAACGGAAAGGCCCUGCUUUUGUGGGUUGCUCGAGUGGCGAACGGGUGAGUAACACGUGAGUAACCUGCCCUUGACUUUGGGAUAACUUCAGGAAACUGGGGCUAAUACCGGAUAGGAGCUCCUGCUGCAUGGUGGGGGUUGGAAAGUUUCGGCGGUUGGGGAUGGACUCGCGGCUUAUCAGCUUGUUGGUGGGGUAGUGGCUUACCAAGGCUUUGACGGGUAGCCGGCCUGAGAGGGUGACCGGCCACAUUGGGACUGAGAUACGGCCCAGAAUCCUACGGGAGGCAGCAGUGGAGAAUAUUGCACAAUGGGCGGAAGCCUGAUGCAGCAACGCCGCGUGCGGGAUGACGGCCUUCGGGUUGUAAACCGCUUUCGCAUGUGACGAAGCGUGAGUGACGGUAAUGGGUAAAGAAGCACCGGCUAACUACGUG
This 468-nucleotide ribosomal RNA is filed under the name uncultured bacterium. RNAcentral's name for it is "partial 16S ribosomal RNA". It matches the Rfam family "Bacterial small subunit ribosomal RNA", at positions 28 to 507 of the family's 1533-position model. The record is from RNAcentral.